AAAAAGCUAGUUAAACAAUAACAUUAAAUUGUCAAAUUAAAAUUACUUUGAGUGCCUUUUA
This 61-nucleotide transfer RNA is filed under the name Gammarus nipponensis. RNAcentral's name for it is "tRNA-Asp". Lineage: Eukaryota; Metazoa; Arthropoda; Malacostraca; Amphipoda; Gammaridae. The record is from RNAcentral.